Molecule: ribosomal RNA, 253 nt
Filed under: uncultured bacterium
Lineage: Bacteria
Description: partial 16S ribosomal RNA
Rfam family: Bacterial small subunit ribosomal RNA
Source: RNAcentral
UACAGGGGGUGCAAACGUUGCUCGGAAUUACUGGGCGUAAAGCGCGUGUAGGCGGCUUUGCAAGUCGGGUGUGAAAGCCCUCAGCUCAACUGAGGAAGUGCGCCCGAAACUGCAGAGCUUGAGUACCGGAGAGGAUGGUGGAAUUCCCCAAGUAGAGGUGAAAUUCGUAGAUAUGGGGAGGAACACCGGUGGCGAAGGCGACCAUCUGGACGGAUACUGACGCUGAGACGCGAAAGCGUGGGUAGCAAACAGG